ACCGACACAGGUGGGCGAGAUGAGUAUUCUAAGGCGCUUGAGAGAACUCGGGAGAAGGAACUCGGCAAAUUGGUACCGUAACUUCGGGAUAAGGUACGCCCUUGUAGUUUGACUCCCCUGCGGGAGAAGGACGAAAGGGUUGCAAUAAACUGGUGGCUGCGACUGUUUAAUAAAAACACAGCACUCUGCAAACACGAAAG
Molecule: non-coding RNA, 200 nt
Filed under: Oxalobacteraceae bacterium IMCC9480
Lineage: Bacteria; Pseudomonadati; Pseudomonadota; Betaproteobacteria; Burkholderiales; Oxalobacteraceae
Description: Bacterial large subunit ribosomal RNA
Rfam family: Bacterial large subunit ribosomal RNA
Source: Rfam by way of RNAcentral